UGAGGAAACACACACUUGUGUCAUUUUGACAAAAUCAAAAUCAGCCUUUUCUUUCACUUUGAUAUUUAAAAGCACUAAAAAUACUUCACCGAUAUGGGAGUGUCAAGCAGGGCUGGGUCUGCAUUCUAUCAGUGUAUUGUGUUAAACGACUUGAAGGACCAGUUUAAGAUCUUGUUAAGCAAACAGCUGUUGCAUGCAUCUCAUUUCCAUUGCAGUUCAGCAACUGUAAAAGAAUGUCACUCUCAGCAUGAUGAAGCUUUCCACCGACUCACUAUGAGUUUUCAGCCAUAAUAAGCAGCACACUUAGCAAAUGGAGGUGAGAGCCACUCCCACCUCUCAGUGAAUGCGCUCUGGAGAGAGAUGGGCGUUUGUUUGUUUGUUUCGCAGGAUCAUGACGAAACCUGAAGACUGAGGCGGCGCCUCCUCCAAUACAAGAACCUUUGAACACUGUGACACUUGCUGUUUGUCUUUAUUGCUCUCUUCUCCUCCCUUCUUUCAAUUACUUAUAACAUCCUCCCCCACUUUUGUUCACAUUCCCCUUCUCUUUCUUUCUCCACAACAGAUUAGCUCUGCAUUACAGACAAAGAAGCAAAAGUUGGUUUUAUAAGAAACUAACCAUCAUCUUUUGACCAUUUUGAUUAAUAAUAACUGCAUUAUGCCUCCCUGAAGCUGCAGUGAGAUGUGAAAAACAGCAGUUCUCUGCCUCCAUCAAUCCCAAUGAACAUAUACAGCAGCCAGAUAUAAGCAGCUUAAGCAAUGGAGGAAUGUACUGGCACCUGCUUGUCCCCAGCAAACCACAGUGUUUUUGUGUGAGGGGCGACCCGAAGGAUUACAGCAAGAAUUUCAAUUUCACAGUCUUUAGCCCUGAGCUUGAACCCAGAGUCAGGCUAGCAAACUCCAAACGGCAGCAGUAAAAUAUCUGUUCUGGAACCUACUCGUGUUGCAUUCAUAAUUUUAAUGACAUUUAACUGGGUUCUGCUUCAGCAAUGUGUGGAAAUAAUUAGAAUUUGCUGCUGGAUUGUGGAAUGAUUCUGUGAGGCAGUUGGAAGGCCAUGGUGUUUUGAUACCUGCUUAUUAGGUAAGAGAAGAACCGCAGGACAAAGGUGGACUGAAAUGAAACUCCUCCCAUAGUCUUAAGGGCAGGGCUUGCAUUGAGACGAGACAGAUAUAGACUGCUGCCUGUCAAACCUGUUGUAAUUUCUGAUUUCUCCAGACAAGUUCAGUUGCCUACUCUGUAUUUUGAGAUCGCUCGUGUUCUACUCAACUGCCAAAAUGAUGGAAGAAGUGUCUAUCUCUGUUGCUUAUGAUGCCCACAUUAUUGACCAAAUGUCAGAGGAGGAGAUCCUGGCUAGUCUAGUGGUGGAGUCUCUACCAAAACAAGUGGUGCCAUCUAAAAAGCCAAAAUUAAGAGAUAACCAACUGCAGCAAGAAGACCCACUCGACAAGUACGAGAGAGAAAACCGUAAGCUUCAGGAAACCAGUUUGCGACUGGAGCAGGAAAAUGAUGACCUUGCACAAAAACUUGUCACCAGCAAGAUUGCGCUGAGGAAUGCUUUAGAUCAGACUGAGGACCAGGUGGAUGAAUUAACCAAGGAGCUUUUAAAAACCAAACAGCUUCUGAAGAUUACAGAGGAGGAGAAAAGAGGAAAGGAGGAGGAGGCUUCACAGCUGAAAGAGAUGUUUAGGAGAGAGCUGGACAAAGCAGAAGCAGACAUUAAGAGAUCAAACAACAUCAUCGCCGACUACAAGCAGAUUUGCUCCCAACUGAACACUAAACUUGAACACCAGAAAGCUCAAGCAGACAAAGAGCUGGCAGUUAUCAAGAGCAAGAUGCUGGAGUGUGAGCGGUGCAGACAUAUCUUUAGCAUGGAUGGAUCAAUUCAGCUGUGCUCUGAGAGUGAAGAUACCUCUGCUCAGGAGGAAGUGAAGGCCUCUCUCAGAGAACAGGUCCAAGAGUUAGAGAGAGAGCUAGUCCAGACCAAGCUACAAAUGGUGGAGUCCAAAUGCAAGAUCCAAGUAAGACAUAAAAUCAAUAAUAGAAGUGGUCUAAAUAUUAAAACAUGUACAUAUAUCUUCUGUGAAAGUCUCAUGGCCAAAAAAUGUUCAUCCAAUCAUUGCAUUCAGUCCGAAUGUAAUGAUACAAUGUCCUCCUGCCGGUCAACAUAUGUAUUUCCAUACCUCCGUGCACACGCAGACAUCAAACGUCAUGAGCGCGUUCUGUAAGUCCGAGCAUGGCAAGGAAACAGCAGCCGCCUUUUACAGUUCCUCCUGAACCAAAACAACGAGCUUAUGCUGCUUUCACGCAAUGUCGUAAAUGCAAUUACAAGAUGGCAACCCGUGAUGUUCUACCUGGAGCUGUUCAUGUCCUCAGACUUGGAUUUAUGCGUUUAUAAACACCUAAAUUAAUCUGAAGCAGUCAGGUGGUACAAGUAAGAGCUCUGAGUUGGAGCACCAAAAUGCAGUUGUGACGACUGAACUUCAGGCUGCUAAGAACACAUGGCUCAGAAAAACUCUGGGCUCUUUCAGGACAGUUGCCAGCGGCCAUCAGAACUCCUCUCAACCAGAUUCUGCCUGGA
Megalobrama amblycephala (Wuchang bream) is the source of this 2576-nucleotide RNA transcript. It is a transcript of the gene named RAB GTPase activating protein 1-like 2, with no coding region annotated. NCBI's taxonomy places the organism in Eukaryota, Metazoa, Chordata, Actinopteri, Cypriniformes, Xenocyprididae. The transcript has 8 exons. The record is from RefSeq and is a predicted model, not a curated record.